CCUACGGGUGGCAGCAGUGAGGAAUAUUGGUCAAUGGACGCAAGUCUGAACCAGCCAUGCCGCGUGCAGGAAGACGGCUCUAUGAGUUGUAAACUGCUUUUGUACGAGGGUAAACGCAGAUACGCGUAUCUGUCUGAAAGUAUCGUACGAAUAAGGAUCGGCUAACUCCGUGCCAGCAGCCGCGGUAAUACGGAGGAUUCAAGCGUUAUCCGGAUUUAUUGGGUUUAAAGGGUGCGUAGGCGGUCGGAUAAGUUAGAGGUGAAAUCCCGGGGCUCAACUUCGGAAUUGCCUCUGGUACUGUUCGGCUAGAGAGUAGUUGCGGUAGGCGGAAUGUAUGGUGUAGCGGUGAAAUGCUUAGAGAUCAUACAGAACACCGAUUGCGAAGGCAGCUUACCAAGCUACUUCUGACGUUGAGGCACGAAAGCGUGGGGAGCGAACAGGAUUAGAUACCCUAGUAGUC
This 460-nucleotide ribosomal RNA is filed under the name uncultured bacterium. RNAcentral describes it as "partial 16S ribosomal RNA". It matches the Rfam family "Bacterial small subunit ribosomal RNA", at positions 338 to 795 of the family's 1533-position model. The record is from RNAcentral.